GAUGAACGCUGGCGGCGUGCUUAACACAUGCAAGUCGAACGAUGAAGCCCAGCUUGCUGGGUGGAUUAGUGGCGAACGGGUGAGUAACACGUGAGUAACCUGCCCUUAACUCUGGGAUAAGCCUGGGAAACUGGGUCUAAUACCGGAUAGGAGCGCCUACCGCAUGGUGGGUGUUGGAAAGAUUUAUCGGUUUUGGAUGGACUCGCGGCCUAUCAGCUUGUUGGUGAGGUAAUGGCUCACCAAGGCGACGACGGGUAGCCGGCCUGAGAGGGUGACCGGCCACACUGGGACUGAGACACGGCCCAGACUCCUACGGGAGGCAGCAGUGGGGAAUAUUGCACAAUGGGCGAAAGCCUGAUGCAGCGACGCCGCGUGAGGGACGACGGCCUUCGGGUUGUAAACCUCUUUCAGUAGGGAAGAAGCGAAAGUGACGGUACCUGCAGAAGAAGCACCGGCUAACUACGUG
Molecule: ribosomal RNA, 466 nt
Filed under: uncultured bacterium
Lineage: Bacteria
Description: partial 16S ribosomal RNA
Rfam family: Bacterial small subunit ribosomal RNA
Source: RNAcentral